CUCGCAAGAGAGGCAGGCGACCACGGUGGGCUUAGCGACUGGGGUGAAGUCGUAACAAGGUAGCCGUAGGGGAACCUGCGGCUGGAUCACCUCCUUUCUAAGG
This 103-nucleotide ribosomal RNA is filed under the name Oxalobacteraceae bacterium. RNAcentral describes it as "partial 16S ribosomal RNA". It matches the Rfam family "Bacterial small subunit ribosomal RNA", at positions 1439 to 1533 of the family's 1533-position model. Lineage: Bacteria; Pseudomonadati; Pseudomonadota; Betaproteobacteria; Burkholderiales; Oxalobacteraceae. The record is from RNAcentral.